Molecule: ribosomal RNA, 253 nt
Filed under: uncultured bacterium
Lineage: Bacteria
Description: partial 16S ribosomal RNA
Rfam family: Bacterial small subunit ribosomal RNA
Source: RNAcentral
CACGUAGGCACCAAGCGUUGUCCGGAUUUAUUGGGCGUAAAGAGCUUGUAGGCGGCUUGGCAAGUCGGAUGUGAAAUCCCUCGGCUCAACCAAGGAAGUGCAUCCGAAACUGCUGAGCUUGAGUACUUAAGAGGAUCGCGGAAUUCCCGGUGUAGAGGUGAAAUUCGUAGAUAUCGGGAGGAACACCAGUGGCGAAGGCGGCGAUCUGGGAAGAUACUGACGCUGAGGUGCGAAAGCGUGGGGAGCAAACAGG